UACGGAGGGUGCAAGCGUUGUCCGGAUUUAUUGGGUUUAAAGGGUGCGUAGGCGGCUUUUUAAGUCAGCGGUGAAAGCCGGUCGCUCAACGACCGAACUGCCGUUGAUACUGAUUAGCUUGAGUUUGAUUGAGGUAGCCGGAAUGGAUAGUGUAGCGGUGAAAUGCAUAGAUAUUAUCCAGAACGCCAAUAGCGUAGGCAGGUUACUAAGUCUCAACUGACGCUGAGGCACGAAAGUGCGGGGAUCAAACAGG
RNAcentral lists this ribosomal RNA (253 nucleotides) under uncultured bacterium. Its description in RNAcentral is "partial 16S ribosomal RNA". It matches the Rfam family "Bacterial small subunit ribosomal RNA", at positions 524 to 776 of the family's 1533-position model. The record is from RNAcentral.